GGCUAUGUAGCUCAGUUGGUUAGAGCACCGCACUCAUAAUGCAGGGGUCACAAGUUCAAGUCUCGUCAUAGCCACCA
RNAcentral lists this transfer RNA (77 nucleotides) under Acinetobacter baumannii. RNAcentral's name for it is "tRNA-Met". It matches the Rfam family "tRNA". Rfam says of the family: Transfer RNA (tRNA) molecules are approximately 80 nucleotides in length. Their secondary structure includes four short double-helical elements and three loops (D, anti-codon, and T loops). Further hydrogen bonds mediate the characteristic L-shaped molecular structure. tRNAs have two regions of fundamental functional importance: the anti-codon, which is responsible for specific mRNA codon recognition, and the 3' end, to which the tRNAs corresponding amino acid is attached (by aminoacyl-tRNA synthetases). tRNAs cope with the degeneracy of the genetic code in two manners: having more than one tRNA (with a specific anti-codon) for a particular amino acid; and 'wobble' base-pairing, i.e. permitting non-standard base-pairing at the 3rd anti-codon position. Lineage: Bacteria; Pseudomonadati; Pseudomonadota; Gammaproteobacteria; Moraxellales; Moraxellaceae. The record is from RNAcentral.